Molecule: ribosomal RNA, 253 nt
Filed under: uncultured bacterium
Lineage: Bacteria
Description: partial 16S ribosomal RNA
Rfam family: Bacterial small subunit ribosomal RNA
Source: RNAcentral
UACGUAGGGCGCAAGCGUUGUCCGGAAUUAUUGGGCGUAAAGAGCUCGUAGGCGGCCUGUUGCGUCCGCUGUGAAAUCCCGGGGCUCAACCCCGGGCCUGCAGUGGAUACGGGCUGGCUAGAGGCAGGCAGGGGAGAACGGAAUUCCUGGUGUAGCGGUGGAAUGCGCAGAUAUCAGGAGGAACACCGGUGGCGAAGGCGGGUCUCUGGGCAGUAACUGACGCUGAGGAGCGAAAGCGUGGGGAGCGAACAGG